RNAcentral lists this ribosomal RNA (1134 nucleotides) under Neoskrjabinolepis sp. BN-2018. RNAcentral describes it as "partial large subunit ribosomal RNA". The stretch from base 568 to 1134 matches the Rfam family "Eukaryotic large subunit ribosomal RNA", at positions 1 to 920 of the family's 3401-position model. The record is from RNAcentral. Lineage: Eukaryota; Metazoa; Platyhelminthes; Cestoda; Cyclophyllidea; Hymenolepididae.
GCCGCAUGCAGGUAAACGGGUGGCGUCAAGCUGCGAGCCCGGAGGAUUCAGCUGACUGGGAUGUAGUGUACGCGCGCCUGGUGCGUCGAGAGACCGGAAUAAGAUGUUCAUGGCGGUCCACUCCUCUGCUGGGAGUGGGGCGCGAUCGGUGUGCGCUUGCGUGUGCCGGUUGUCGCUAUGUAUGCCGGGUGGGUGCCGGAGCAUGCCGCUCAUCUGUUGGGUCACCUAGUCAGUGCAUUUUCUCCGUGGUGAACACCACGACCGGUGGAACUGCCAGUCUGCUGUGAUCAAGUCGUGUCCUCCUGGUGCGUAACUGUGCUGGGAGUGGCACGAUCGCAGGCGGAGUCGGUGGACGGCGCAGUGGUGCUUCGGUACUGCCGCGUGUUAUCGUGCACUCUCUGUCGUAAGCGGUUGGUGGGGUUGACUGAGUGCUGUGACUACUUCCUCAUUAAUCGGCGGAUCGCAGUGGUGAAAGGGACUGUGCAGGGCACCGGAGUUGUCCACCUCAUUCAAUAUGGUAUCCGGCACGCACGUUACAGGUGCUAUACAAUCGGGAUGCGCCGCUGUCUGCCUGGUGUUGGGCCUGACUGUCGUGUUGCCUGCGCAAAGUGGGUCCGGCAGUGGUUUCGAUGCUUGGUAGUCGCAGUGUGCUGCGUGUCUCGGGUGUCUGUGGUACCGGGGGUGAAAUAGUCAGUGGUGCUGUGGUAGACGAGCUACCCGACCCGUCUUGAAACACGGACCAAGGAGUUUAACAUGUGUGCGAGUCAAAGGGUCCUACGAAACCCCUAGGCGCAGUGAAAGUGAAGUUCACGCUGCACUUCUGCACAUGCGCGGUGCAGCGUGGCGAGGUGAGAUCUCGUUGUACUCAUGACACACGCCGCAGACCUUACUGGGCUUUACUGGGGCAACGAGCGCAUCACCGGCCCGUCCCAUGAUGUGGUCAUAGGUCCACUUGUGCGUGGAGUGGCAACACGAAGCGUGCAAAGCCUGUGCGUCAUCGGGGCGGAGCAUGAGCACACACGUUGAGACCCGAAAGAUGGUGAACUAUGCUUGCGUAGGUUGAAGCCAGAGGAAACUCUGGUGGAGGACCGUAGCGAUUCUGACGUGCAAAUCGAUCGUCAAACGUGAGUACAU